CGGAGUCAAUGCAGCGAUUACAAUUUAGCAUGGAUAGUGGGAGAUAGGUAUUGACUGGCACCAGAGAGUCACAGGCCCUUAACUUCAAGUCGGCGCUCGGAUGUACAUGUUGCAGCCUUCCCUAGACUAGAGUAUGCUAUAUUAUUUGCAGCCUCCGCCAUUUUAGUUCAACCAUCUGCCAGUCAUGAUAUGGUUGAAGUAUAGCUGAGAAGCACCUUCCAAUCACAGAGAGAGAAUGAAUCGUAAACAGGCUGGGAUGACUAACCGCUGGCAACGGACCUAUGACACAGGGGGUGAUCUUUUAGGUCUCUCCCAGGCUGUCAAAACUAUCGGGCCCAGCUUCAACAUGAACAUGAGGGACAACCUCACAGGUUAUGACUCCAUUACACAAACUGCGAUUGCUUCAUCUUCUUGUCCACAUGUUCCAACUGAAAGAUCUGUGGAAAAUGAAGAC
This is a long non-coding RNA of Pelobates fuscus (common spadefoot toad), 454 nucleotides long. RefSeq lists it as uncharacterized. The record is from RefSeq and is a predicted model, not a curated record. The transcript has 4 exons. Lineage: Eukaryota; Metazoa; Chordata; Amphibia; Anura; Pelobatidae.